CGCCCCGCCCCUCCCCCCGCCGGCCGUGGAUGCUCUCGGGCAGCGGCGGCCGCGGUGCCCGGGCGGCGGGGGCAUGGCGGCCCCGGACAGCUGCGUCAAGGUGGCCGUGAGGAUCCGUCCCCAACUGUCCAAAGAGAAAAUAGAGGGAUGUCACAUCUGCACCUCGGUGACGCCUGGUGAGCCCCAGGUACUGCUGGGGAAGGACAAAGCCUUCACCUACGACUUUGUCUUUGACCUGGACACAUGGCAGGAGCAGAUCUACACGACGUGCGUGGGCAAGCUCAUCGAAGGCUGCUUUGAGGGCUACAAUGCCACAGUGCUGGCAUACGGCCAGACUGGCGCCGGGAAGACAUACACCAUGGGCACCGGCUUCGACAUGAACAUCUCUGAGGAUGAGCAGGGCAUCAUCCCGCGGGCCAUUGGCCACCUCUUCAGCGGCAUUGAGGAGCGUAAGCGGGCGGCGCAGAGUCAGGGUGUGGCAGCACCCGAGUUCAAAGUCAGCGCCCAGUUCCUGGAGCUCUACAAUGAGGAGAUCCUGGACCUGUUUGACAGUGCCCGUGACCCUGACGCACGCCACCGCAAAUCCAACAUCAAAAUUCAUGAGGAUGCCAGCGGGAGCAUCUACACCACAGGGGUCACGUCGCGCCUCAUCAGCUCGCAGGACGAGCUCAUCCAGUGCCUAAAACAGGGGGCUCUUUCCCGCACCACCGCCAGCACCCAGAUGAAUGUGCAGAGCUCCCGGUCACAUGCCAUCUUCACCAUUCACCUGUGCCAGAUGAGAGUGUGCACCCGCCCGGAGCUGGUGAAUGGGGAGGUGACCAGCCUCCUGGAUGGAGCCCAGCCCACCACCGAGUACGAGACCCUCACGGCCAAGUUUCACUUCGUAGACUUGGCUGGCUCAGAGAGGCUGAAGCGAACGGGUGCUACUGGCGAGAGAGCGAAGGAAGGCAUCUCCAUCAACUGUGGGCUGCUGGCCUUGGGGAACGUCAUUAGUGCCCUCGGAGACCAGAGCAAGAAAGUUGUGCACGUGCCCUACCGCGAUUCCAAGCUCACCCGCCUGCUGCAAGAUUCCCUGGGGGGCAACAGCCAAACCAUCAUGAUUGCCUGCGUGAGCCCAUCUGACCGGGACUUCAUGGAGACCCUGAACACGCUCAAGUAUGCCAACCGGGCUCGCAACAUCAAGAACAAGGUGGUGGUGAACCAGGACAAGACAAGUCAGCAGAUCAGUGCCCUGCGGGCCGAGAUCGCCCGCCUGCAGAUGGAGCUGAUGGAGUACAAGGCGGGCAAACGGGUCAUUGGGGAGGAUGGCUCAGAGGGCUACAGCGACCUUUUCCGUGAGAACGCCAUGCUGCAGAAGGAGAACAGUGCCCUGCGCAUGCGGGUGAAGGCCAUGCAGGAAGCCAUCGAUGCUAUCAACAGCAGGGUCACCCACCUCAUGAGCCAGGAGGCCAAUCUGAUGCUGGCCAAAGCAGGUGACGGUAAUGAAGCCAUUGGCGCCCUCAUCCAGAACUACAUCCGGGAGAUUGAAGAGCUGAGGACGAAGCUCCUGGAGAGCGAGUCCAUGAACGAGUCUCUGCGUCGCAGCCUCUCGCGUGUCUCUGCCCGGCCCCCCUACUCCAUGGGUUCGUCCCCAGCAUCUGGCUUGGCUGGCCUGUGCAGCCCCGCUGCUCCAGUAGAGACGGAGGCCUCCGAUGUCCUCCGACGGGCUAAGCAGGACCUGGAGCGCCUGAAAAAGAAAGAGAGGAGGCAGCGGAGGAAAAGCCCGGAGAAGGACGCAUUUAAGAAGCGGCAGAAACUGCAGCAGGACAAAGGGGAGGAGACAGAUGAGAACGAGGUGGAAGAGGAGGAGGAGGAACAGGACGAGAGCGGCUGUGAGGAAGAGGAUGGGCGUGAGGAUGAAGAUGAGGACUCGGGCAGUGAAGAGAGCCUGGUGGAUUCAGACUCAGAUGCAGAGGAGAAGGCCGUGAAUUUCCAGGCAGACCUGGCAGAUCUGACUUGCGAGAUAGAGAUCAAGCAGAAGCUGAUUGAUGAGCUGGAGAACAGCCAGCGACGCCUGCAGACCCUCAAGCACCAGUAUGAGGAGAAACUGAUCCUGCUGCAGAACAAGAUUCGGGACACACAGCUGGAGCGGGACCGGGUCCUGCAAAACCUCAGCACCAUGGAGUGCUACACAGAGGAGAAAGCCAACAAGAUCAAAGCAGACUAUGAGAAGCGGCUGAAGGAGAUGAACCGGGACCUCCAGAAGCUGCAGGCAGCCCAGAAGGAGCAUGCUCGCCUGCUGAAGAACCAGUCCCGCUACGAGCGGGAGCUGAGGAAGCUGCAGGCAGAGGUGGCCGAGAUGAAGAAGGCAAAGGUUGCGCUGAUGAAGCAGAUGCGGGAGGAGCAGCAGCGGAGGCGGCUGGCAGAGACGAAGAGGAAUCGGGAGAUCGCGCAGCUCAAGAAGGAGCAGCGCCGGCAGGAGUUUCAGAUCCGGGCUCUGGAGUCUCAGAAGCGGCAGCAGGAAAUAGUCUUACGGAGGAAAACCCAGGAGGUCUCGGCACUGCGCCGUCUUGCCAAGCCUAUGUCAGACCGGGCUGCGGGCAGGACAAGCCAGAAGCCAGCCAUGCUGGACUCAGGCGCAGAGGUCUCAGCCAGUACCACCUCCUCUGAGCCCGAGUCCGGUGCUCGCUCCGUCUCCAGCAUUGUGCGCCAGUGGAACAGGAAAAUCAACAACUUCCUGGGAGACCCCUCAUCCUCUGUGAAUGGUGCUCGGCCUGUCAGGAAGAAGUUCCCCAAGAAGGGUGCGAGCCAAACCUUCAGCAAAGCUGCCCGCCUCAAGUGGCAGUCGCUGGAGCGGCGCAUCUUCGACAUUGUCAUGCAGAGGAUGACCAUCGUCAACCUGGAGGCUGACAUGGAGCGGCUCAUCAAGAAACGUGAGGAGCUGGCACUGCUGCAGGAAGCAUUGUUGGGCAAGAGGGCGAAACUGCAGGCAGAGAGCCCUAAGGAACAGAAGGGGCUGCAGGAGCUGAACGAGGAGAUCGAGGUGCUGGGGGCCAACAUUGACUACAUCAACGACAGCAUUUCCGACUGCCAGGCCACCAUCAUGCAGAUCGAGGAGACCAAGGAGGAGCUGGACUCCACGGACACGUCGGUGGUGAUCAGCUCCUGCUCCCUGGCCGAAGCCAGGCUCCUGCUGGACAACUUCCUGAAGGCCUCCAUUGACAAGGGGCUGCAGGUGGCACAGAAGGAGGCCCAGAUCCGCCUGCUGGAGGGGCGCCUGCGGCAGACGGACAUGACCGGUGCCUCGCAGAACCACGCCAUCCUGGAUGCCCUGCGGGAGAAGGCUGAAUCGCACCCCGAGCUGCAGGCCCUGAUCCACAACGUCCAGCAAGAGAAUGGCUACGCCAGCACGGAUGAGGAGGUCUCAGAGUUCAGCCUGGCUUCAGAUGGGAGCAUCUCCCAGUCUUUCACCAUGAAGGGCUCAGCAAGCCAGGAUGACUUCAAGUUCAAGGGAGAACCCAAGCUCUCAGGGCAGAUGAAGGCAGUGUCAGCUGAGUGUCUAGGACCCACGUUGGACAUCUCCACCAAGAACAUCACCAAGUCUUUGGCAUCCCUCAUGGAGAUCAAAGAGGAUGGGAUCAGCUUCUCCAUCCGAGACCCUUAUUACAAGGAGAAGGUGUCGCGCACCAUCAGCCUGCCCACACGAGGAAGCACCUUUCCCAGGCAGUCUCGUGGCUCAGACACUUCGCCUCUGACAAGGAGGAAAUCCUAUGACCGUGGGCAACCUGCCAGGCCUCCAGAUGUUGGCUUCACGCCUCCCUCAUCCCCACCCACCCGUCCACGCAACGACCGCAAUGUCUUCUCUCGUCUUACGAGCAACCAGAGCCAGGGGUCUGCCUUGGAUAAGUCUGAUGACAGCGAUUCCUCUGUCUCGGAGGUGCUGAGGGGCGUCAUUAAUCCGGUGGGUGGCACUAAGAAUGCCCGGACAGCCCCACUUCAGUGCGUCUCCGUGGCAGAAGGACACACCAAACCUGUGCUCUGCCUGGAUGCCACCGACGAGCUGCUUUUCACUGGGUCCAAAGACCGGAGCUGCAAAAUGUGGAACCUGGUGACGGGCCAAGAAAUUGCUUCCCUCAAGGGUCACCCAAACAACGUGGUUUCCAUCAAGUACUGCAGCCACACGGGGCUGGUGUUCACCGUGUCCACGUCGUACAUCAAAGUGUGGGACAUCCGGGACUCAGCCCGGUGCAUCCGCACCCUCACAUCUUCUGGACAGGUGAUCUCUGGGGACGCAUGUGCUGGGACCACCACCCGCACUGUCACCAGUGUGCAGGGGGAGCACCAGAUCAACCAGAUCGCUCUCAACCCCACUGGCACCAUGCUCUAUGCUGCCACUGGUAACUCCGUUCGCAUCUGGGAGCUGAGCAGGUUGCAGCCCAUCGGGAAGCUGAGUGGCCACAUCGGCCCUGUGAUGUGUCUCACAGUAAACCAGACGGCGAGCAACCAUGACCUGGUGGUCACAGGCUCCAAAGAUCACUACGUCAAGGUGUUUGAGAUUGCUGAGGGCAUGGUGGGGAAUAUUGGCCCCACUCACAACUUCGAGCCCCCUCACUAUGACGGCAUCGAGUGUUUGGCCAUCCAGGGAGACAUCCUCUUCAGCGGCUCCAGGGACAAUGGCAUAAAGAAGUGGGAUCUGGAGCAGCAGGAACUUAUCCAGCAAAUCCCCAACGCCCAUAAAGACUGGGUCUGUGCCCUGGCCUUCAUCCCCGGCCGCCCCAUGGUGCUGAGUGCCUGCCGAGGAGGCAUGAUCAAAGUCUGGAAUGUGGACACCUUCACCCCAGUUGGGGAGAUUAAAGGGCACGACAGCCCCAUCAACGCCAUCUGCACCAACUCAAAGCACAUCUUCACCGCCUCCAGUGACUGCCGGGUAAAGUUAUGGAAUUACGUGCCUGGGCUCACCCCUUGCCUUCCACGACGCGUCCUUGCCAUAAAGGGCCGUGCUACUAGUCUGCCUUGACCCUCCUGCUCUUUCUGACUCUCUUGCUCAUGCACUCUUCUUCCGUCUUUUCUUUCCUUUUCUCUUUCUCUCCAUCUCUUUCUCCCUCUGUCUUUCUCUCUGUUGCUUUUUUGCUCCUCUCGCUCUCUUUUUCUUUCUUUCUCUCUGGUCUGAGCUGCUUCUUCACGCGACUUGACAGUGAAGCUUUGGAGCGGGAGGAGGUUACCCGCGGGGUCGAACUAGGAACUGCAAAAAGACUGGAAGACGUGACAGGAGGGUGAAGGUCGGGGUACAUCCCACUUGCUAUCAAGACCCUGUCAUCUACAGGACCUCAGCCCAGGGAUAGGGAUUUCUUUGUGCCCGACCCAACGGGGUGGAUGAUGUCCCAUCUGGUACUUUGAGCACUGCCAGGUCCCGUGAGGAGGCAGCUCUGUGGGGCACCAUCAGCUCCACCUUCCCUCCUGCUGAGGUUUCUUGAUGGUUUUCCAGUGACCAGGAAAUGUUUUGUCUCUCUUCUCACCCACCCUGCUGCAAUGCCUGCCGGGACUUCUGGGGGUCAGAGCUCCUUGGCUCCUUGUCAAGAGACACCCAAUUCCCUCCUGCCACUGUGGGCUUAUGUGGCCUCCACCGUGAUGUGCUUCCUCUGUCCCUGUUGGCUCCGGGGCUGGUUCCUGCAGGAGUCUUUCUCCACUCCAUGGCCAUGAGGACAUUUGGUGUCUGCUGGCCAGGACCACAGCAUGGAGGGGCUGCUUCUUUGGAGACAUUACUUGUGAGAUAGCCUCUCUGCUGUGGGGGUCUGCAGAAGGAUUUUCGGGUAGUCCCAUCAUUCCCCAUCCUCCGUCUACCUGUCCCCAGCAAUUGGAGGUGUGCACCUCUGAGCUCCUUUGCCAAGGCACAGCAAGCCUGGGAAGAUCUCCAUCGGGCAACUUCCAGACAAACCCUCUGCAGUUCCCUUCGAUGUUCUCCAAACCCCAGUCAUAAACUCAGCUGACCCAUGGCUCUUGGCGUCUUCCCGUGUGCCCACCCUGCUCUGCAGUGGGGAAGGGAAGGGCUGCUUAGCCCUGCUUUUGAAACCUUGGUCCUCAGCAGCGAUUUUGUGGUGGGUUCCUGCAGUGUGUUAACCCCCUUGAGAUGGAGAAACAGAGCGAGACCGGAGGUUACAGGGCAAAGAAGCCAAGGCUGGAUUUUUCACCCCCACUCCUGUGGCCCAUCUUGUUUUGCCAUCACUGGGAGCUGGAAGCUGUAACUCCUUCCCCAAGGCUCUGCUCUCAGCCUUCUACCAGAGAGGGGGCUAGCUCAGGUUUGGCCUGUUUCCCCCUGUGGAUCCGGGAGCUGGAGGAGGCCCAGCUAGGCAUGGAGCAGCCAGUGUUUGGGUCAGGAUGGAGUUGGCUGUGCUGGGAGCAGGGUGAGGAAGGGGUUGCACACACUGGGGUUGCACAAGUCCCCUGAUUCUCCCUAUGCUUGAAGGACAAUCGUGAAGUGGAUGAUCUUGCACAAUCUAACCUCCGUGAAGGGCUGGGGGCUCCGUCCAGUAGUGUGUCCCCAAGGACACGGCUUUUCCAGGCUCCCUCCUCCCUCUCUCCUGUGCAAGGGGCUGGCAAGGUCCUGGUCUCACACUCCAUCUCUCCCAUGGCUCGUUGGACCAUCCCCUGCUCCAUCCUGCCCUAGGCCAGGCAGGGCUUGUUGUGGUAUGGCUGAGGAGACCCCCGGACUGGUGCUCUUGCCUCACGUGGUUUCACUUCCCCUCUGUCACAGAAGAAGCAGCAUUUAAACUGAAAUUUAAGGAUUUUUUUUCCAUGUGAUCCCACCAGCACUGAACUGGGAUCUCAGAGGCCAGGGGCUCCAGGACCCGCCUCACAAAGCACAGACCAUUUUCCUUCUGCUUUGUCCAACCAUGGUGACUCGCGGACCAGCCCCAGGUCAUUUGCCACCAGCCCUCGUUAAAACCAUUCCAGGUGGAGCGUGGGAAUUCCUCUGCAUCCUGAAAGGCAGGAGCAUCUCUGUUGAUUUUAUGGGGAUUUUUUUGCCUUUUUGGGGGGGAAAAACCCCAUCCUGCUGGCUUGCCUUGAUGGGAUGUGUGUGGGUGUGACCCUGCCCAGGACAGUGACUGGUCCCUCAUGAUCGUGGCUGAGCCCUGCACAGCCUGGGACCGGUGGCUGCAUUGAGGCGAGGAGCCUUCCUGCUGUCGCUGGUGGAGAAGUGGUGCUGAUGCUGGCAGCUCUGGGCUGUGCACUCCGUGGGA
This is an RNA transcript of Grus americana (Whooping crane), 7217 nucleotides long. It is a transcript of the gene named kinesin family member 21B, with no coding region annotated. The record is from RefSeq and is a predicted model, not a curated record. NCBI's taxonomy places the organism in Eukaryota, Metazoa, Chordata, Aves, Gruiformes, Gruidae. The transcript is spliced from 36 exons.